This 497-nucleotide ribosomal RNA is filed under the name uncultured bacterium. RNAcentral describes it as "partial 16S ribosomal RNA". It matches the Rfam family "Bacterial small subunit ribosomal RNA", at positions 28 to 507 of the family's 1533-position model. The record is from RNAcentral.
GAUGAACGCUGGCGGCGUGCCUAAUACAUGCAAGUCGAGCGAACAGACGAGGAGCUUGCUCCUUCGACGUUAGCGGCGGACGGGUGAGUAACACGUAGGUAACCUACCUAUAAGACUGGGAUAACUUCGGGAAACCGGAGCUAAUACCGGAUAAUAUUUCGAACCGCAUGGUUCGAUAGUGAAAGAUGGCUUUGCUAUCACUUAUAGAUGGACCUGCGCCGUAUUAGCUAGUUGGUAAGGUAACGGCUUACCAAGGCAACGAAACGUAGCCGACCUGAGAGGGUGAUCGGCCACACUGGAACUGAGACACGGUCCAGACUCCUACGGGAGGCAGCAGUAGGGAAUCUUCCGCAAUGGGCGAAAGCCUGACGGAGCAACGCCGCGUGAGUGAUGAAGGUCUUCGGAUCGUAAAACUCUGUUAUUAGGGAAGAACAAACGUGUAAGUAACUGUGCACGUCUUGACGGUACCUAAUCAGAAAGCCACGGCUAACUACGUG